RNAcentral lists this ribosomal RNA (477 nucleotides) under uncultured bacterium. RNAcentral describes it as "bacterial SSU rRNA". It matches the Rfam family "Bacterial small subunit ribosomal RNA", at positions 28 to 526 of the family's 1533-position model. The record is from RNAcentral.
GACGAACGCUGGCGGCGUGCCUAACACAUGCAAGUCGAGCGGAGUUAUAGCAAUACAACUUAGCGGCGGACGGGUGAGUAACACGUGGGCAACCUGCCCUUCAGAGGGGGAUAGCCAACCGAAAGGUUGAUUAAUACCGCAUAACAACAAGUCAUCGCAUGGUGGUUUGUUCAAAGGAGAAAUCCGCUGAAGGAGGGGCCCGCGGCCCAUUAGCUAGUUGGUGAGGUAGAGGCUCACCAAGGCGACGAUGGGUAGCCGAUCUGAGAGGAUGAACGGCCACAUUGGAACUGAGACACGGUCCAGACUCCUACGGGAGGCAGCAGUGGGGAAUAUUGCGCAAUGGGGGAAACCCUGACGCAGCAACGCCGCGUGAAGGAUGAAGGCCUUCGGGUCGUAAACUUCUUUGAUCAGGGAUGAUAAUGACAGUACCUGAAAAACAAGCCACGGCUAACUACGUGCCAGCAGCCGCAGUAAAAC